UANNCNGAUCGUNNAGUGNNNNUGAANUNCCNCGGCUUNANCUGUGGANCGGCUGGGCAUACUGGCGGUCUUGAGCCAUCUAGGGGCUACUGGAACAAACGGUGGAGCGGUGAAAUGCGUAGAUAUCGUUUGGAACGCCAAUGGUGAAAACAGGUAGCUGGGGAUGAGCUGACGCUGAGACACGAAAGCCAGGGGAGCAAACGGGAUUAGAUACCCCGGUAGUCCUGGCCCUAAACGAUGUCCACUAGAUCGCAGGACCUCUGACGGUUUUGCGGUCGAAGCAAAAGUGCUAAGUGGACCGCCUGGGAAGUACGGUCGCAAGGCUAAAACUCAAAGGAAUUGACGGGGGCUCACACAAGCGGUGGAGCAUGUGGUUCAAUUCGAAGCAACGCGCAGAACCUUACCUGGGCUUGACAUGCUUGGAUUAUCCCGGUGAAAGCCGGGUAGGCCCUUCGGGGUACAACAAGUACAGGUGCUGCAUGGCUGUCGUCAGCUCGUGUCGUGAGAUGUCGGGUUAAGUCCCAUAACGAGCGAAACCUUUGCCCUUAGUUACCAGCGGGUUAUGCCGGGGACUCUAAGGGGACUGCCGGUGUCAAACCGGAGGAAGGUGGAGAUGACGUCAAGUCCUCAUGGCCUUUAUGCCCAGGGCCACACACGUGCUACAAUGGCGUCGACAAAGCGAGCCUACAGCGCGAGCUGAUGGAAAACGCAAAAAUGACGCCCCAGUUCAGAUCGGAGGCUGCAACUCGCCUCCGUGAAGUUGGAAUCGCUAGUAAUCGCGGAUCAGCUACGCCGCGGUGAAUGUGUUCCUGAGCCUUGUACACACCGCCCGUCAAGUCAUGGGAGCCGGAAAUAGCCGAAGUCGCUGUGAUACAGCAGUGCCUACGCUAGGUUCGGUGACUGGGACUAAGUCGUAACAAGGUAACCGUAA
RNAcentral lists this ribosomal RNA (931 nucleotides) under uncultured bacterium. Its description in RNAcentral is "bacterial SSU rRNA". It matches the Rfam family "Bacterial small subunit ribosomal RNA", at positions 572 to 1505 of the family's 1533-position model. The record is from RNAcentral.